AAACUCAAAGGAAUUGACGGGGACCCGCACAAGCGGUGGAUGAUGUGGAUUAAUUCGAUGCAACGCGAAAAACCUUACCUACCCUUGACAUGUCCGGAAUCCUGCAGAGAUGCGGGAGUGCCCGAAAGGGAAUCGGAACACAGGUGCUGCAUGGCUGUCGUCAGCUCGUGUCGUGAGAUGUUGGGUUAAGUCCCGCAACGAGCGCAACCCUUAUCAUUAGUUGCUACGCAAGGGCACUCUAAUGAGACUGCCGGUGACAAACCGGAGGAAGGUGGGGAUGACGUCAAGUCCUCAUGGCCCUUAUGGGUAGGGCUUCACACGUCAUACAAUGGUCGGUACAGAGGGUUGCCAAGCCGCGAGGUGGAGCCAAUCCCAGAAAGCCGAUCGUAGUCCGGAUUGUUCUCUGCAACUCGAGAGCAUGAAGUCGGAAUCGCUAGUAAUCGCGGAUCAGCAUGUCGCGGUGAAUACGUUCCCGGGUCUUGUAC
RNAcentral lists this ribosomal RNA (485 nucleotides) under uncultured Latescibacterota bacterium. RNAcentral's name for it is "bacterial SSU rRNA". It matches the Rfam family "Bacterial small subunit ribosomal RNA", at positions 897 to 1386 of the family's 1533-position model. The record is from RNAcentral. Lineage: Bacteria; Pseudomonadati; Candidatus Latescibacterota.